AACGAACGCUGGCGGCAUGCCUAACACAUGCAAGUCGAACGAGACCUUCGGGUCUAGUGGCGCACGGGUGCGUAACGCGUGGGAACCUGCCCUUAGGUUCGGAAUAACUCCCCGAAAGGGGUGCUAAUACCGGAUAAUGUCUUCGGACCAAAGAUUUAUCGCCUUUGGAUGGGCCCGCGUUGGAUUAGCUAGUUGGUAGGGUAAAAGCCUACCAAGGCGACGAUCCAUAGCUGGUCUGAGAGGAUGAUCAGCCACACUGGGACUGAGACACGGCCCAGACUCCUACGGGAGGCAGCAGUGGGGAAUAUAGGAAAAUGGGCGAAAGCCUGAUCCAGCAAUGCCGCGUGAGUGAUGAAGGCCUUAGGGUUGUAAAGCUCUUUUACCCGGGAUGAUAAUGACAGUACCGGGAGAAUAAGCUCCGGCUAACUCCGUG
RNAcentral lists this ribosomal RNA (433 nucleotides) under uncultured bacterium. RNAcentral's name for it is "partial 16S ribosomal RNA". It matches the Rfam family "Bacterial small subunit ribosomal RNA", at positions 29 to 507 of the family's 1533-position model. The record is from RNAcentral.